UUUGAAGGUCCGAUCAAUGAGGUCGACAACUCAAAAACUUUGUUUCUUUUUUCGCUAAUUCUACAGGUAACGAUGAUAUUGUACGAGGUUCUAAGGCUGUACCCACCGGUGGUUGAGCUAGGACGUUCCGUUCCAAAAGAAAUAAAACUGGGGAAUUUGUUGUUACCAGUAGGAACAGAAGUUUCGGUUCCGAUCCUGCAGAUCCACCAUGACAAAGAUCUUUGGGGUAACGACGCACGGGAAUUUAAGCCAGAGCGGUUCGCGGAAGGGGUUUCCAAAGCAACAAAGAGUCAAGUCACGUUUCUGCCAUUCGGAUGGGGUCCUAGGAUCUGUAUUGGCCAAAAUUUUGCUUUGAUGGAAGCCAAAAUGGCGAUGGCUAUGAUUCUCCAACGCUUCUGGUUCGAGCUUUCCCCUUCCUAUGCUCACUCUCCUUACAGCAGGGGAACUCUUCGUCCACAGCAUGGUGCACAGAUAAUUUUACAUAAACUUGGCUGUAAUUGAAUUGUUAUGUAAACAAAUCUUUGUGAAAACAUAGCGUUUUAGUGUAUCGUCAAAGUCCGGUGUCUGUAAUGGUACAAAUUCGAUGCAUGAAUAGUAAAUUUUGAGAUGUUUGGUGAAGUCCGAAAUAAUAUGCAGAAAUUGAGCGUCUAUGGUGGACAUAGUUGAGGGACUAAUGUGGUAAUUAUCAAUCAAAUAAUUCGGUACAAAGACUUGUAUGGAAAUUAAAGCAGGGGGAGUUGAAAAUGACUACUCUGCUUUGGGCAUCAAUUUAGAAAGAUUUAAAGUACAACUGUGUUAUCAGUUAAGGGAUUUGUUUUAAAGAGGGAAUGACAAUUAAACCUCAUGGUUUAUUUGUGCAAGGGAACCGAUGAUGGGAUGAUUAUUCUUAGUGGUAAAAAAAACCAUUAUGGAGGUUAUUACACUUGUUAUCAUCAGCUUAAAAUUCGAAUGGGUUCAAGUCGGAUUAUAUCGAGCUUGUAAGAUGAGUUCACGGACCAAGUUUGCAUAAUAAAAUACCUAAAUGAAAAAAAAUUCUAUUUUAGAGGGACGAGAGCCCCUAUCAACUCCCGGCUCAGCCACUAAACAAUACCUAUAUCAUAUAAAUAAAUACCACCAUCUAAAAGACUCAAAGAAAAACACUCAACAAAGGAUAAAUAGAUAGAUGUUGGAUAAGUGUCCAAAAUAUGAUUUAAGUGAAGAUACAUGUGGUAGGUGUUACGGAAAUGUGAAGACAAGAAUCCCACUAACGUAUGGGAUGUGUGCAGUUGAAUGUAGGGAGCAAAAAGAGGAGUGAAUCAUUUUGGUAACAUUUGGACAAGAAACAUAAUGAACAAAAUGGAAGGAGAGGAAGCUAGUAAAAGAAUUUUUUUGGGUCAUAUAAUUUGUUCAUUUUGGAGUUGAAUUAUAAUUUUUUUAUAUAUUAUUUUAAAAUUUUAAGGAGUUAAAACAAAAUUAUUUUAUUUUCAGAUGGUCAAAGUAGAGGUGAUAAUGGGUUGGGCUAUUCGGCCCGGCCUGACGAUUCACUCGAAAAAUAGGAGGGUUUAGGUAAAAAUAUAGGCUCGAAAUAGGGAUUUGAGCAAAAAAAGAGUCCCGUUUAGAAAAUGGGCCAGGCCUCGGGUAAAAUUUUUUGGGCCCAAGCCUGACCUGAAUUAUAUAUUAAAUAUAUUUUUUAAUUUUUAAUCAAAUAUACUUUUUUUUAUUAAUUUGGUUAUUAUUUUAGUUCUAAUUUGUUUCAAUUUUAAUAUAACCACUUUUUAUUAUAUUUUCAAUUUGUGUAUUGUUUUAAGAAUUGUUUUAGUCUCAUUUUUUUAUUUAUUUUUUGUUUUAAUAAUUGUUUUAAAAAUUUUUAUUUAAUGAAAUAAGCUAAAAAAAUUAAUAUGGGCUUGGCCAGGCCAGGCUCGGGCCUAGUAAUUUUCUUUUGGGCCGGACUUAGAUAAAAUUUUAAGCCCAUAUUUUAAAUUGGGUCCUAACCUAAAAAAUGAACCUAAAAUUUUAUAUGGGCCCGACUUGGCCCUUGAUUACCUUUAGGUCAGAGCUAUCCUCGUUUUGCAUUUCUUUGAGAUUCAGCCUUAUCUACUGUGAUUGCCCACUCAAUUGAGGGUUGAGUAGAAAGAUUUGGUGAAGCAAGCUAAGCUAUCAAUCAAGGUUUGCAUAAUUAUUUAAAUGUAAUUCUAAUAUUAAAAUAAUUUUUUUAUUAAUAUAGUAUCAACAAGCAUUAAAUGUAAUGAUCAUAUACUAUUACAUUUUAAAGAAGAGAAAACAUGUUUGAACUUUAAAAACCACGUUACUAAAAACAUUAUCACAAACCUUGAAAUAUAAAAAAUAAUUUUUUUAAUAUAAUAAAAAAUUAAUUUUAAACCCGAGCUGAAUAAAAUUCUAAUUUUAGUUAAUGAUACGAACAACAAAUCAAUAUUCUAAGCCCGAGCCCUGCUCAUUUUUUUAAUAAACACCAAAAAUUUAUUUUGAAAAUAAAAAAUAAAAAAAAUAUUUUAAAAAUAUUUUAAAAAUAAAAAAAAUUAAAAAUAAAUAUUUAUUAUAUAUUCAGGCCGGGCCGGGCUAGCCUUGGGCUAAAAAAAUGGUGCCCGAGGCCCGGCCCAUUUUCUAAAUAGGCCUCAUUUUUUGUCCAAACCCAUAUUUUGGGCCUAUAUUUUUACCCGAACCUCUCAUAUUUUGGGCGGACCGUCGGGCCGGACCGGGCCGCCCGGCCAUGAACACCUCUAGGGCAAAGUCACUCAAUGAAUGCAUGGAAAGAAAUAUUGCAACUUGGUGACAGCUUUUGUUGGAGUUAUAUGCUUUUUUUUACAUAGUGGAACUUUCGGUGGAUUUUCAAGUUUCAUGAACUUUAUACCCUAGGCUUUACGUGAAAAAAAUCAUUGGACUUAAAAGUCUACCAAAAGUUUCACUAUAAUAAAUAAAUAAAUAAAUAACAUUGCUACAAGACUACAACAUAAAGUUACAAUAAGAGCUUAUAACUCAACAAAGGCUAUCAAUAAAUAAUCUCAAGCAAGCUAAAGAGAAAUGUUGAGAGUACCACUCAAAUAGUGAUUGACUUUAAAAAUUGAAAACCCGAAGUUAUUGUUGACACCAUUUUUUGGAUGAAAAUGUGUCGACUUGGGUUUUGAAAAUGAAAACGAAAACGAGAGUCGCCACCAAUCCUUUUUGAUAAGGUGUGACUGGGUCACCUUGAAAAGUGGUUGUUUUUAAUAAACGAUUUGAUUUUAUUAAAACAACAGUUUUGGUCCACGAAAUUCAGAAAAAUGAGUUCGGGAGUCGGUUACGCACGAGGAAGGAUUAGCACCCUCGAUACGCCCAAAAUUGGUACCUAGUUGAUUACUUAAUGUCUUAAUGUCGAAAAUUGAAAACUUUGGAGAAUUUUAAACAUACGAUCCUUGUAUUAAAACGUUAAAAAUUUUCAAGAAAAUGGGAUAUUUCACGUUAUUCGAUAAAGAGAAUCAUAUCCUAGUAAGUUAGGACACAAUAUCUCGAAUUUCCGAUAUCAUUUAAAACUUGAGUUUGAAAAGAUUCGUGUAAUAAAGUUUAAAAUAAUAUUCAAUUGUUUAAAUCAAAUGAAGAAAUCGCAACCCAAUACGUUAGGGCACAAUUUCUCAAAAUAUUAAACAUUGAAUAUUGCAUUUAUUUCGAAAAAUCCUCAUCUCGAGAAAACGUGUCACAUCCAAUGCAUUAGAAUACAACGUAUUGAAUUCUCGAUAACGAGCUUUUUCUCAUUUUUUAAAAGAGUAAUCUCGAUUAUUUAGGUUCAACGAAGAAAAUCAAAACCCAAUACGUUAGGGCUCGAUUUUCUCAAAGAUUCCAAAUACCGAGUAUUACUUAUAUUUUUAAAAUUUCUUUUUUGAAAUCCGAGUAAAAAUGAAUGCAAAAUAAUAAAUGAUGACAAUGUAAAUAAAAUGAUACAAGCAAAACAAUAAACAAUAAAAAUAAUCAUACGGGCAAGGUAACAAAUAAUUAGGAACUAAAGAAAGAGAACAAACAAUAAUAAACAUGCAAAUAAAUGAACAAAAUUAACAACAUGAUGCAAAUAUGAAAGAUAUAUAAGCACAUAUAUAUACAUAAAAUAAUGAGAAUAUGAAAAAAUGUGUGUAAUUGGACAUGUUUCGGAAUUAUUAUACAUUUAAAAAUCAUGUAAAUGUGUGUACAUACAUAUAUACAUAUAUAAUAAUCAUUAAAUAUAUAAAAAUACAUAUGUGUAGGUAUAUAUGAGUCAUAAAAUGUAAAGAAUAUAUACAAGAUAUAUUUUGAACGUAUAAAGUAUAUGUAAAUGUAUAUAUAUAAUAAAGGUGUAUGAAAGCAUAUUUUAUAUACGUGUAUUUAUAAAAUGUAUAUAAAUGUAUAUUGAUUUACCAAUACAUAUGGAUUUAUAAUUAUAGAAUAUAUAUAAAAUAUUUACAUAUAUACGUUUAUGCAUAUAUAAAAGUAAGUUAUUAUAAAAUAUGAGCAAGCAGAAUACAUAAAUAUAUAUACAUAAAAUAAAAAUGAAGAUGAAAAUAAUAUAAAACUACUUAAUAUAUUAAUAUAAUAGUAACAAAUUAAAAAAACAGAAAAUAAAGCUAAUAAUAAUUAAUAAUAGUAGUAAUAAUUAUAGCAGCAAUGAUAAUGAUAAUAAUAAUAACACUAAAAAAAUUAAUUAAAUAAUAAAAUUGCUAAAAAGGGAUUAAAUCGAAAUAAAAACAUAAAUACUGGGCGAUUUUGAAAUAAAAAACGGGAAGGACCGAAUUGCAACGCGCGUUGAAAAGGAAAGGGCCAAAACUGCAAAUAAACCACAGCCCCAAAACGCAGCGUUGAAAUGGACCAAGUCGAAAUAAAAAUAAAAUUGCAGGGGCUAAAUUAAAAAUAAGAGAAAAUAACGAAAAAUGAUCAAAUUGUAAUACGCUGCAAAAUCAGGGGGACUGCACGCGCAAAUAGCCCAAAAACUGAAAACACGCGGAUCCUCCGGGUCGGGUCGGGUCGGGUCAGGUCGACGUGCGGAUCCCCUUUGCUAAAACGGCGUCGUUUCAUGUUUAAUAUAAAUACUAAAAAAAGCUAAAAAAAACAGUUUCAUCUUUUUUUAAAAAAAACAGAGAGAAAACUCUCUCUUUUUCCCUCAGGUCCGGCCAUGGUCCGGCUUGGGAUUUCCGACGAGUCUCCGCCGCAAAGCCACCGUGUGUGGCGGCCGGAGGUUCAAAAUCAGACCUUUUUGGUCCUUUUUUAAAGUCCAUGGCCUCCAAGCCACAGAUCCGGGGCUGAAUCUCCUGAAUCGAAAGCCGAAGACCCAAAAAAUGGGGUGAAAUCCUUCGCCUUCCUCCCCCUUCCGGCGCUGCGCAGGUAAGGUUUUUUUUAACUCCUUUUUUACUAUCUUUAUUUAUAUAUAUACAUGAAGAGAAAAGAGAGCAAAAUAAAUAAAUAAAUAAAAACUUCAAAACUGAAGAGAAAAAGACCUUGAAUCUGCCUUAUUUAUUUUCUUUCGGUUGAAUCUGUUUUUGUUUGUUACAAAAGUUUCCAGGGAAGAGAAAAAAAAAGAGAGUUACAUGCUUGGCUUUUAUAGCCGAUAUUAAUUUCUAUUUUUUGUUUUCUUUUUCCUUUCUUUUCUUUGGCUGUUGCGUGUUUGCUUCCUUAUUGCAGGGUGAUUGACGGGAGUGGUUGGCGACAGAGUCGGUGGCCACUUGCACUGAUGAAGCAGCGGUGGCGGCGCUAGGGUAGGCUAGGGACGGCGGCAGUACUAGGGUUUCAGAAAACUGAAACCCUAGUUUGACAAAUUGGUUUCGGGCCUGUUGGGCUUUAAAUUAUGGGCUUUGUAAUUGGGUUUUGGGUUUAGGUGAUUUGGGUUUAGGUGGUAUGGGCCCGGGUCAAAUUUUGGGUAAUGGGAUUGGGGCAAAAUUGGGUUGUACAGUUAUAAUAUCCCAAACGAAAUCAAACUAUAAACAUUAAAUUUUUCGAGUCUUCUAGAUACUGUAAAAAAUUCAGCUCCAACGGACACCAAAUGAACCUAUGAUCGAAGAAAAUACGAAGACUAGUCUGGCUAAAUCAAUCUGCCAAACUUACUUUUUAUCUUAUCUUUAAUUUGCUGUGAAAUUCAAAACUACGUGUAAUACUCAAUUUAUGCUCGACCCAUUUUGUUAAAACAAAUAAAAAAGAAAAGAAAAACAAAAUAUUUAAAUUUAGCCCAAAUGUCCAUUUACACAGCCCAAUUACAAUUGCAAAUAAAAAAAACUAAAACUAAACCCGAUCCUAAGCAUCAGCCCAAAUUCGACCCAUGCCCAAAACGAAUUCAGAUGCAGAAACCCUAGCCCAGCCUUAAUGCAAGCAAAAGUCGAAAGCCCUAAUAGUUGGUGCGCCGCUCCUGUAACAGCCCGAUUUUGGGCCUAGUCGGAACAGUGGUUUUGGGACCACAAAUCCGACGAGAAAAAAAUGUAAUGGCCCGAAUUUUCAGAGGUGUCAGAACGGUGAUUCGAGAUCACUAAAUUCGACAAAUGGGUAGAAAAUAUUAUUAAUUUAGUAAGUAUAAGUUAAAUGUGAAGUUAGGAAAAUUUUUGAAAUGGUGAAUAGUACACUAGAAAUAAAUAUUAAAAUAAUUAGAAUCGAAAAUGAGGUAUCGAGACCUCGGGGAUUUUAAACCGAGCCAUAAAUAUUUUUAUAAAUAUUUAUGUAGUCUUAAAAAGUUAGUAUUAAAGUUUCGUUAAGAAAUUUUAAAGUUCCGAUAAUUAAUUGAACAAAAAGGACUAAAUUGUAACAAAUACAAAAUUAUGAGAAAUGAUUAAAUAGUUUAAAUGAUAAAAGGAAGAGGGCUUAAAAGGUAAAUAGACCCAAGGUCUAUUUGGGCUGCACGGCAAAGGCAUGAAAUCAGCAACAAAGUAAGGAGAAUUAAGGGCAAAAUUGGAAUAUUGCAAAAUUUACUUAAUAAAGUUAGGACCAAAGUGGAAUUAUCUAGAUUUCUCUUUAUUUUUCUGCAUUAUCAUCAGCAUAAACACCAUAGAAGGGUUUUCUUAAGCUGGUUCUUCCUAUUUUUACUGCAGGUAAGUUCAAUUCUUGAUUAUUUCUUGAAAAUUUUGUGUUUUUGUGACUUUUACAACUAGGCCCACUUAUUGUAUUCAUUAGUUUUUGAUUCUAUGAAAGAAGUUGAAAGUUGCUAUGAAUACAUGCUGGAAGUAUAUGAUGAUUUAGCAUGGAAUUAGAGCUUUAAAUUGUUCAUAUGCUGAUUUAUUGAAAGAAUUGAAUAGAAAGUGAAUGUUUGGGACCUAAUAGUAAAAGAGUUUGAAGAUAGAGUUAUAUGUGGAAAUUCUGAAUUUCAAUAGUUGUGAAACAACUUAUAAUGUCUAGGUUAAGUAUUAAUUGAGAAAAUUAAAUUAAUUGAGGGGUUAAUUGAGAAAGGACCGAAUUGUAUAAACUGUGAAAUUUGGGGCAAAAAGGAAAUCAACAUUUUACACUAAAGCAGUUUUGGACAGCAGCAGUAGUAUAACUUUGAAAAAUCACCAAAAAUUUUGAGAAUUGAAUUAGAGGGUGAAUAAAAUAUAAAAUUAAAGCUCCUUGAAUCUAGUUUCUCAUAGAAGAAACGGUGUAAGCAAUGGAAUUGUAAAUCAUGAGAUAUAAUAAAUUUUGUGAGACAAUGUCAUAAUGAUUUCGGGUUCCCCUAUUCUGACUUUGGAAAAUCAUCAAAAAAUUAAGAAAAAUAUGAGUUAUAAUUUAUAUGAUUACAAUCCUUAAUGAGUCUAUUUUCAAAGAAAAUAAACGGAAAUAUCAUCCAAAUUCUGUACAAUUAUAUAAUUCAUUUUUAGUGAAGAGUGGUCGAAACUGUCAGACAGCGAAAUAGGGGGAACUUUAAAGAAUAAACUGUACUAUUUGGCUGAACCAAAAAUUCUGAAAAUUUUAUGGUAAGAAGGUAUGUGAGUCUAGUUUUAAGGAAAAUUAACGGAUCUUAAUUUAGAGCUCUGUAGCUCUAGAUAAAAAUAAUUUAGUGACUCUGACUCAGAUAAAUAGCUUUGAAUGUACAUGUGAGUGAAUAGUGAAAUUAUAGCUAGUGUUGUUUAAGUGUGUUAUACACAUUAAGGAUAUGGAAUGGAGAGGAGGAGGAGGAGGAAAAAUUGGGAAAUAUAUGAAUGAUUUGUGUAUAAUUGGUCAUAUGCUUAAUUAUAAUUGAUAAACGAUGAAAUAGAAAUGAUGCAUAUAUUUGUGCAGUAUUGGUCAUGGUUUAAGCUCAUGUGGGAAAAUAAAGUUUAUAGUACGUGUGUAUUAUAUUUUUGGUAUAUGAUUUGGCAUUAAGUAAUGUCGUGAAUGGAUAUUGAAUUAACACAUGUUGGAAAGUUUGAUAUAUGAAUAAAUAUUGUGAUCAUGAAAGAGUGUUACAGCUCCUGCCUUCAGCACGCGUCGAGCCUCCGCGCCAAAUCCACGUGAGCCUCCGUACACUCCAACUAGCCUCCGUACCUGCAACAAACAAAAGUAGACAAAACAACAGCAAAGGAUAGGAAGAAAAGGCAGUAAAUAGUGAAGAUUUUUCUGUAAUUUUCUUUGGAUUUCAUUAUGUAUUUUCGGCUAUAAAAGAGCCAUUAGGAAUAUUUGUAAAGGGUUUUUUUUUUACCCUCACACACAAAGAGAAUAUACACGCAUACAAGAUCAAUAUAGAGAAAGAAAUAAAAAUAAAUAAAUACAAAGAAUAGAAAAUCAAGUUUCGAAGGUGAUUCUUUGAAAAAUCCUUUUCGUUUUUCUCAUUUUUCCUUUUUCCUGGAUCUUUUGUUCAUUUCAAGUAAAAAAAGUAUAGAAAGGAAACAAGUUUAGAGGAAGGAGGUUUACCUGGACGCCGGACCUCGCUCGCCUCGUCGAAAUCGAAGGCUGAGAGGGGAUAAAUCGGUUUUGCGGCAGAAGGAAAGGGGGGCUAGGGUUCUUGUUUUAACUUUUUUAAAAAAAAUAGAAAAGGUUGCUAAUUAGGUUUUAAUGGGGGAUUUAUGUGUGUUAAAAAAACGACGUCGUUUAGCGACCUUUGACCCGUGCGGUGACCCGACCCGAGGAAAGGAUCUGCGCGUUUUGGGUCUGAUGGGUUUAUUGCGCAACAAGCCCUUCCGCAUUUGUUUUUCGUUUCAAUUCGGUUUUUAUUUGUUUUUUAAUUGUUUUCUCAUAUUUAGUUCCAAUUUCAAUUGGGUCCAUGAUUAAACGACAUCGUUUUCAUUGAUUGGGUUUGAAGGCCUGGUUUUGUGCGUCUAAAUUGCAGCAAUGGUCCCCCUGAUGUGCAAUAGUUCUCGAUUUAGUCGUCUCCACACUUAUUUCAAAGUCGUCCUUGAGAUUUUGUUUUAUUUUUGAAAUUGUCCUUGUCUUCUUUUAAUUUAUAAUGAUAUUAUUAUUAUUGUUGUUGUUAUUAUUACUAUUAAUAUGGGUAUUGUUAUCAUGUUAGUUUAUAUCUAUUUAUUUACUUUUAUUUUAUUAUGUAUUAUUAUAUAAUGCUUUUAUCAUGUAUCAUUUUAUAUAUUUUCUAUGUUAAUCUAAUAUGAUAUAUAUAUAUAUAUGUAUUUUUGUGAUCUUAUUUUAUAAUACUUUUUUAACCCAUUUAUAUGCCUUUAUGUUUUAAAGAUUUAUAAUAUUUUGUGCAAAACUAUUAUAUAUAUAUAUAGAUAUACAAUUUAUAUUAGACCAUUUUUAUCGUACAUAUACGUAUAUAUAAUUUAUAUUUUGAAACUCUAUUUUAUUAUAUUUUAUGCCUCUAUAUACAUCAUUAUAUGUUUAUUAUUCUUUAUAUUAAACCUGCCAUUUCACUUAUAUAUUUUUAAAACCAAUGUGUAUUAUUCUUUCUUCUUUGUUAUUUUUUAUCUCUUAAAAUAGAUUGAUAAUUCAUUUAAUUUUUGAAUGUUGUAUGACCGAGAUUAUCGUUGCCAUUCUUGUCCAAAUUUAUCCAUUGCUUGUUCAUAUUAUUUGAUAAUUUAUCGCUCACUAGCAUGUAUCGUAAUUUACGAAUUAUCAUUUUGAAUUAUGUACUACCAUUCAAUCGCAUUACAUUUGUUUGGAAAACAUCGAAAUCGUUUUGCACAUAAACCUUCAAAAUGCUUGGUAUCCAAAAUUCUCGAGAGGAUUGUGCCCUAAUUUAUUGGGCUUCAAUUCCCCUUUUUGAUUUUAAAUAACCGAAUACCCCUUUUUCAAUUUGAACAUAGAAAUUCCAAAAUAAAAAAAAACUCAUUCUCGGGAAUUUGAUGCGUUGUGUCCUAACGUAUUGUAUAUGACAUAUUUUUCUCGAGACGAGGAUUUUUCUAACAAAUAAAAAUAAAGGCAAUAUUCGAUAUUUAGGAAUUUUGUGAAAUCGAACCCUAACUUACUGGGUUUUGAUUUUUUCAUUUGACCCAAGUAGGAUAUCCUUCACAAAUGCACAGAUUUUAAAAAAUCAAAAGAUAAACUUAAUUUCGAGGAUUUAAAAUGUUACACUCUGACUUACUGAGUGUGUCAAUUUAUUUCUUUGAAAUAAGUGAGUCUUAUCAUCCAAUUUAUUUUAUUCAAAUUUUCUUUUCCAAGGAUCGUAUUUUAAAAUUUUUUCAAAAUUUCGACAUUAAGACAUUAAGCAAUCAAUUCAGUACCAAUUUUGGGCGUCACGAGGGUGCUAACUCUUCCUCGUGCGUAAUCGACUCCCGAACCAGUUUUCUCAAAAUUCACAGACCUAAAAUUAUUUUCAAGGUGAUCCGAUCACACCACAAUAAAAGAUCAGUGGUGACUCCCAUUCCUAUUUUUAAAAGUCGAUUCCUGUUUUUCAUAUAUAAAAAAAUGGUUUCGACACUACGGUUUUGUUUGUUUCCCUUAGAACAACUUUCAAAAAGUUAAUUUUGAAAAAUGGAUUGAAUUUUCAAAAUAGAUGAUAUUUUUUUGUGUUAAAAUUUUAUUCGUUGUUUGAAAAAAAAAUUUAAAUCAUUUUCUUAGAAUUAUUUUUAGUGAAACAAAUAUAUCAUAAAUAUAUUUGUUAUAAAAUAUUAUAUUAAUAUUUUCUUUUAACAAUUAAAAUAUAUUUUGUGAUAAGGUAAUAUUUUAUAAUAAUUAAUAUCAUAUAUACUUAAUAAUAAAUCAUGUCUAAUUAAAAUUUAAUUUCAAUUAAAUAUAUUAAUAAAGCUACAUUUAAUCAUAUUUUAUAUAAUUAAAAUAUUAAUAUAAAUAUUUUUCAAUAAUAUAUUAAAGAAUAUUUAAAAUUUAAAUUUAUUAUUACUAAGAUUAAUUAUUAAAACAAAAAUGUAAUAUUAAAUAAUUUAUCCAAUGAUAAGUUAUAUUAAUAAUUUAUUAUAUUAUUAAAUAUAAAUAAUUAAAUAUGUAUGUUUAAUAAUAUUAUGUUAUAAUAUUUAUUACUAAUAUUUUAAUAUUUUUAAACAACCAUGUUUUAAAGAUGGUGGUGAUGGUGAUGGUGCAGGCCCCCUUGUUAAAAUUACAAUAUUUUUAAGUGGGAUGCAUGUAAUAUAUUGUUAGGGUUUUAGAGUAUGUGGUCUUUAAAAGGGUUAAAUUAUAUAUUUAUAUAAUAUGAUUAUUGUUUAUAAACAUAAUAUUGUAGAUAAGUUUAUAUGUAUGUCAAUAUGUAUCCUACUCUAAGGUUAAUAUGUAUUUUUUAGAUGUGGGUUUACCUAUAUAAUAGUAUGAAUCCAUCAUGUGGUCUCAUGAAAUAUACAAACACAUAUCGUGCGAACACAAAGUACGAACAAUAAAAAAUACAAAUCAAGACCCAAUUGAAUAAUUGAAUAACGGAUAGGUAAUAAUGAAUAUCAUAACAUUUACUAUCCCCUCUUUUCUAGUGAGUUAUUGUUUAUGAUAAAUUUGCAACAAAUGUUUUUAUCAUUAUUUUGUUGGUAAAUGAUAAUAAGAUUAAACAUUACUUUCUUAAGCUCCUUCAAUUCUUUGGACGUUAGCGAGUAAACUUGAGCUUCAGCAUUCCACAAACACCUUAAUUUGAAGACACAGUUCUCUCAUACUAAAAACGACAUGGACGUUUACCUUGUAAUUAGAGAUUUGGGCUCAUUGUUGGGUUAUUAAUGAUACGGGGAUGGAGAGCUUUAAACUGGGUAUGGUUGGCCCCAAAGAGGCUCGAAACGUGCUUGAGACUAGAGGUGAUCAAGGGCCGGGUUAGGCCCAGUCUAGAAAAAAAAUUAGGCCCAUUUUUUAGAUUUGAACUCGGCUCGGCUCAAAAUAUAAGCUUAAAAAUUUGUCUAAGUUCAGUCCGAAAGAAAAUUGUUAAGCCCAAGCUCGACCCAUAUUAAAUUUUACAACACCAAAAAAGUAUAUUUAAAUAAAAAUAAAAUAUAUAUAUUUAAUAUAUAAUUCGGGCCGAGCUGAACUCGGGCCAAAAAAGUUUUACUCGGGGCUGGUCCGUUUUCUAAACAGACUUCGUUUUUUUUGCCAAAAUCCAUAUUUUUACCCGAAUCUUCCUAUUUUUUGGGGUGUGCCGUCGGGCCGAACUGGGUAACCGAACCAAUGAUCACCUCUGUAAUCACUGAAUUUUGUCCGGGAAUAACUUUCGUUAAAAAAAUUUUAAAAUUAAAAAAAAAUUAACUUUUUUGCUUUUUGACCCCUAAACUUUUCUAAAAUUUCAUUUUAACCCCUAAACUUUCUCAAAAUUACAGUUCAACCCCUAAACUUUUCUAAAUUACAUUUUGACCCCUAAAAUUUCUUAAAAUUACAUUUGGACCCUUACACUUUCUCAAAAUUACGUUUCGGCCCCAAAAUUUUUGCUACAUUUACAAAUUGGUCCUUCUGUCAGAAAAUCCCCAAUAAUCCGGCGGAUUUCGUGCACCUGCCCCACUAUUUCCGGCAGCCGGCCUAGGGCAUGGCCUUCCCCACCUGCUACCUGCAAACAAGAAGCAAAAUCAACUAUAAAAAGGAGUUUAAACUCCAAAAAUCGGACCCCCACCCACGAAAAAAAUAAAAAAAAAAAACUUGAAAGAAAAAGAAAAAAGCUUUGAGAAAGAAAAAGAAAAGGAAAAGAAGAGAGGGGAGAAGGAGAGGCCGACCAUCGGCGAGCCACCGGAGGAGGCGACGGCAGCAGCGGCAUCGACGGCGGCGUAGAAGACCGAACGGAGAAGAAGAAGAAGAAGAAAAAAAAAGAAAGAAGAGAAAGAAAGAAGGAAGAAGAAGAAGAAAGAAACAAAAAAAAAAGAAAAUAUUUUGUAAUAGUCGGCCCGGCCCGACUCGACCUGCACGACCCGUGACCCGACCCGACAGCACCAGCAACCUAGCAGGCCACGGUAGCAGCCCGGCGGCCCAAAGAGUAGCCCAAAAAGAAAAAAAGAAGAAGAACAAAGCAAAAAAAAAAAGCAGGCCAUUUUCAGCAGGCCCAGUGCAGCCCAGCAGACCCAGCGAACCCAGCAGGCCAGGCCCACACGCAAGCAGCCCAACAGAAAAAAAGGGAAAGAAAAAGAAAAGAAAAAAGAAAAAAGAAAAAAGAAGAAGAAGGGGUUCAAUUUGUAUUAUCCGUUCGGCGAAGCUCGUGUUUUGAGGAUUUUUUUUCGGUAAUUUUAUUUUUUAAUUUUAAUUUAAUGCUCGUAUUUUUUUUAAAUAUUAUUAGUAUUUUAUGCAUUUUUAUAUUUUGGCAUUUAUAUUUUUAAUUUAAUUUACUUCAAUUUUUAUUUUAUUUUAUUUUAAAUAAUUUUAAUAAAUGAGGCAACGAAUCGAUUUAACAUAAAAUCGUUGAUUUCAUUGCUAUGUUGGGUGAAUAUCAUCGGUUUGUGUUAAACACGAUACACCCUUUUUAAAAAAAAGAAAAAAAUCGAAAAAAUUCUAAAAUUCUCAUUUUUUUAAAAUUCUCGUGUUUUAAUAGAAUCACGAUUAAAUAUUAAGUUGAAUCGAUUUGGCACUAAUUCGAUGAUUUCAUCUCCAUGUAGGGAUGAAUAUCAUUUAUUCGUGUUAAAUAUGGUACUUCUGAAAAAAAAUCGGGUUUCAAAAAUUUUCGUGUUUUCAAAAAUUCUCAUGUUUCAAAAAUCUUCGUGUUUUAAAAAUUCCAGUGUUUCAAAAAUUUUCGUGUUUUCAAAAAAAAAUUUCUCGUGUUUUUAAAAAUUCCCGUAUAUCGAAAUUUUCUUGUUUUCAAAAAAAAAAUUCCAUGUUUCAUAAAUUUCCGUGUUUUCAAAAAAAAAUUCUUGUUUUUCAAAAAUUUUCGUUUUUAAAAAAUUUGACCGUGUUUCAUAAAUUUUCGUAUUUCAAAAAAACCUCGUGUUUCAAAAUUUUCGGGUUUUUUUAAAAACAAUUCGUGUUUCUAAAAUUCUCGUAUUUUAAAAAAAAUCGUGUUUUCAAAAAAAGAAAAAGUUGUUGUGCUUUAAAAUUAUCGUGUUUCAAUCGGAUCACGAUUAAUAUUAAAUUGAACUCGUAUUUUUGAAAAUGAAAACAACGCGCGUUUAACGAGAUACCAAUUUUGGGCGUCGCGAGGGUGCUAAUACCUUCCUCGCGCGUAACCGACUCCCGAACCUUAAUUUUCUCUGAAUUUUUACGUGGACCUAAAAUUACCUCUUUUUAGAAAAGUUUAAAAAUGAAUUUUUCUUCUAAAAAGAGAAUUUUGUAGGUGUCCGAUCACACCUAAAAAAAGAUCGGUGGCGACUCCUUUUUUUCAAAUAAAAUCGAGAUUCAGUUUUCAAGUUUUUAAUAAUUACUUCGACAAGCGCCCGUGCGCAAAAUUUUUAAGUCGCUACAGCCUCUACUUGAGACAACAGGGUUUUGCAGGGAAUUCUUACAGGUUCGUUUCUGGCGACAAAAAAGAGCUCUUCACUAUAAGCAUACAAACAAGAGCCAAAACUAUGCCUCUUAGUGAUGAUAUUAGGCCUUAUGUUAUUCCUUUUCAACAUCAAACCGUCAACCGGUAUGGUAUGUUUUUUUUAUUUAAUCUGCAAUUUGUGAUAAUUCUUUGUUAUUUAUGUAUGGAAUUUAUUGGGAGGAAAUGCUGGAAAGAAUUCAUUUACGAGAAUUGGUCCAAGAUCAAGGGUGAACAUUACGGACCCUGAAAAAUAAGAGAAAUACUUAACAAAUUUAAUGACUUCCAGAAGAUACGUACCAAUCCACUGCUUAAUUUGCUUGUAAGCGGCCUUGUUAACCUCGAAGGAGACCGAUGGAGCAAGCAUAGAAAAAUCAUAACCCUUGCAUUUCAUCAAGAUAAGUUGAAGGUAUAGAAUAGUAAUGGGUACUCAAGACUUUAAAGAAAACAUCAUACUUAAGCCUAUGCUUUUCUGAUUUAGAAAUAAUUGGAUGCAGAAUAUGUUGCCAGCAUUUUAUCAAAGUUGUAGUGACAUGUUUAAGCAAAUGGGAGAAGAUGGUGUGUACAGAAGGAUACAUUGAGUUAGAUGUGUCGCCUUAUCUCGUAGAUUUGACAAGAGAUGUUAUUUCCCGAUCUGCUUUUGGAAGCAGCUUCGAAGAAGGCAAACGAAUUUUCCAAUUACUAGAGGACCAACUCGUUCUCACAAUCAAAUUAAUACAAACUGUUUACAUUCCAGGAUGGAGGUAACCGUCUACUUUAAUUUACUUGAAAAAGGUUGCAAAUGUUGGAAUUGGCUAAAUUCGUGUUUGUUUUCUUGAAGGUUUUUGCCCACAAAGACAAACAGGGAGGUGAAGAUGAAACACAAAGACAUAAAAGAGUCGCUCAGGGAAAUGAUAAAAAGAAGAAAGCAGGCAAUUAAAGCAGGGGAAGAGAGUAAUGAGGACUUGUUGGACAUACUUGUGGAAUCCAAUAUCAGAGAAAUGGAAGCAAAGAAUAUGGGGAUGAGCAUUGAGGAUGUGAUUGAGGAAUGCAAGCUGUUUUACUUAGCUGGCCAGGAGACCACUUCGGUCUUACUGGUGUGGACUAUGGUUUUAUUAGCAAGGUAUCCCGAUUGGCAAAGUAAAGCAAGAGAGGAGGUUUUGCAUGUUUUGGGUGACAGUAAACCUGAUGCUGAUGGCCUUAAUCGUCUCAAAGUUGUAAGUCCCUAGCAUGUCUCUUGAAGGCCCGAUCUCUGAGGUCGACAACUCAAAAACUUGGUUCUUUGUUUCGCUAAUUCUACAGUUAACAAUGAUAUUGUACGAGGUUCUAAGGCUGUACCCACCAGUGAUUGAGCUAGGACGUUCCGUUCCAAAAGAAAUAAAACUGGGAAAUUUGUUGUUACCAGCAGGAACAGACGUUUCGGUUCCAAUCCUGCAGAUCCACCAUGACAAAGAUCUUUGGGGCGACGCCGCACGGGAAUUUAAGCCACAGCGGUUCACGGAAGGGGUUUCCUAAGCAACAAAGAGUCAAGUCACGUUUCUGCCAUUCGGAUGGGGUCCUAGGAUCUGCAUUGGCCAAAACUUUGCCAUGAUGGAAGCUAAAAUGGCGAUGGCUAUGAUUCUCCAACGCUUCUGGUUUGAGCUUUCCCCUUCCUAUGCUUACUCUCCUUACAACAUGGCAACUCUUCGUCCACAGCAUGGUGCACAGAUAAUUUUACAUAAACUUGGCUGUAAUUGAAUUGUUAUGUAAGCAAAUCUUUGUGAAAAUAUAGUGUUUUAGUGUAUCGUCAACGUCUGUCUGUAAUGGUACAAUUCCGAUGCAUGAAUAGUAAAUUUUGAGAUGUUUGGUGAAGUCCGAAAUAAUAUGCAGAAAUUGAGUGUCUAUGGUGGACAUAGUUGAGGGACUAAUGUGGUAAUUAUCAAUCAAAUAAUUCGGUACAAAGACUUAUAUGGAAAUUAAAGCAGGGGGAGUUGAAAAUGACUACUCUGCUUUGGGCAUCAAUUUAGAAAGAUUUAAAGUACAAAUGUGUUAUUAGUUAAGGGAUUUGUUUUAAAGAGGGAAUGACAAUUAAACCUCAUGGUUGAUUUGUGGAAGGGAACCAAUGAUGGGAUGAUUACUCUUAGUGGUGAAAAAAAAACUAUUAAGGUGGUUAUUAUAGUUGUUAUCACCAGCCUAAAAUUUGAAUAGGUUCAGGUCGGAUUAUAUUGAGCUUGCAAGAUUAGUUCACGGACCAAACUUGCAUGAUAAUAGGUAUUCACAACAAGAUAUCUAUAGUUUCCAACAAAGUCACAUGUGAGAUCGUGCAUUAGAACCGCAUAAACAUGUUUUAUGUUUAGAAUAUGAUAUGUGUCUAUGUGUAUAGAAUCUACCUAAUAUAUCAUAUUAAUGAAUAGUAUCAAUUGCGGAGCCAAAAAAUUAUUUGUGAGGGGUCAGAAUUAAAUUGUAUAUUUUUACAAAAAUAAAAAUUAAAUUUCACUAUUUUAAUAGUUUAUUUAUUUUUAAUUUUUAAAUGAUUAAAUUAAAUUUUAUAAAUUUUUAGGAUCAAAGUAUAAUUUUAUCAUUACUAAUUUAAAAUUUUAUAAAUUAUAAAAAGUUUAUAUGAAAAGUUUUCUAUUUUAGGGUGGCCAAAGCCCCUGUCAACUUCUGACUCGAUCACUUGCGGUUAGUUGGGUAAAGACUCAAGAAAAAUAGCGGUGUGUUUGGAUGGACGGUGCGUUUACUUGCGGUUAGUGUAAAAAUAGCGGUGGCGGUGAGAUUAGAUACUAUAGCAACACUGUAGCGUGAGACAAAAAGUAAGUUAAACGCACUGCACUGCACUUAAUCGUCUAUCUAAACUCACCAUAAGUGUCUAAAAUAUGAUUUAAGUGAAGAUACGUGGGGUAGGUGUCAUGGAAAUGUAAAAAAAAAAAAGAAUCCUACUAAUGUAUGGGAUGUGUACAAUUGAAUGCAGGAGUGAAUCAUUUGGGUAACAUUUGGACAAGAAACAUAAUGAACAAAAUGAAAGGAGAGGAAGCUAGUAAUAAAAGAUUCUUUUGGGUUAUAUAAUUUGUUUGGCAUAUAUUUUUAUAAUAUUUAAAUAUCAUUUUGGAGUUGUUGAAUUAUAAUUUAUUUUUAUGUUUUAAAACAUAAUUAUUCUAUUUUUAGAGGUCAGAGUAGAGGUGAGCAUGAGUCGGGCUACUCGGCUCGGGCUGAAGGCUUGCGCAAAAUGUGAGAGAUUUGGGUAAAAAUAUAGGCCCGAAAAAUGAGUUUAGACAAAAAAAAAUAUAAGGCCCGUUGAAAAAACAGGCUAGGCCUUGGGUAAGGCAUUUUGGCCCCAGACCCGGCCCAACCCAAAUUCACUAAGGGCACGUUUGGUUCGCUGUAUUGGAAUAGAGGCGUAAUGUAAUAGAGGCGUAAUGGAAUAGAGACGUAAUAGCAAAUCAAUUGUUUGGUUGAAUGUAAUGGAAUAGAGGCGUAAUAGUAUUCUUAUAUUUGGUUGAAUGGAAUAGAGUUGUAAUAGCAUAAGGAAAAAAGUUAAAAUGACUAGAAUACCCUUAGCAGAAAUUUGUUUAGAUAAAUGAUUAUUGUUAUUGUUAUUAAAUUUUAAUAAGAUUAUUAAUAUCAGUAAUAAAUAAUUUAAUCAUAUUUUAACAUAAUUAUUAUUAAAUAUAAUUUAAUAAAAAUAUAUAAUUUAAUAAAAUUCUUAAUAUUAAAUAUUCUUAAUAUUAAAUUACUAAAAUCAUAAUAUAUAAUACUAUAAAAUAUAAUUUAACAUAAUUAUUAUUAAAUAUAAUUUAAUAAAAUUCUCAAUAUUAAAUAUAUUCUUAUAUGAAUUUACUAAAAUCAUAAUAUAUAAUACUAUAAAAUAUAAUUUAAAAUAAUUAUUAUUAAAUAUAAUUUAAUAAAAAUAUAUAAUUUAAUCUAAAGUUUGAAUGUGUAUUUACCUAGCAAAAAUCAAUGAACUCUCGUGUAACUAUAACCUUAAUAAUAUAUGAUGUAUAAUUAAUAUUUCGUGACUAAUUAAUAGCAUAGAGAUAAAUAUAGUAAUGACGAAUUUAUAGUAUACGAUUAAAAUGCUAAUAAUUUAUAGUAUACAAUUAAAAUAUUAUAAAUAAAAUAAUAGUAAAUGAUAUAUAAGAUAAAUUAACAUAUAAAUAAUUCAGAUAUGUAAAGGAUAUGGCUGAAUAUGGUUGCUCCAAUAAUAAAGGAUAUAUAAUAUAUCAUGGUGUUGUUUUGUUUAGAUAGUUCGGUAACUUAGGAGGGUAUGUAUGAAGAACACAAGUUGAUGCAGAUAGAAAGACGACAAUAUUACAUGAUUACAAUAUGAUAUAGUAUAUAUAUAUAAUUUAUGGAUUCCUUGCAAUCACGUGGGUUCUCUAGCCAUUUUAUUUAGCAUAUCCAGUGAUAUUAAGAUCCAGAAUUAUAAUACAACUAAAAUCUGUGCACACUUAUGGAUGAUCCAACAAAGCCUCAGUUGGCUUUAGGUUCCAAAUCUUGCAACCCACAAACCAUAUUUGCUGGCACUGCAACAUCAAUCAUCUUAGGAUAUGCCAAGUUAAGAUCUGUUGCACCAACAAAAACAGAGGAGAAAUUGGAAGGCGAUCCGAAAAAACCCAAGGAUGCUUUUUCUUUUCUUUUUUUUUUAUAAUCUUUAUAGACUGGUUAUAUUGAGCAUCAACUUACUUUCCAUGAUGUUUUUGAAAGUCUCUUACAAAAAGGGUAUUCAACAAAUAAUAUAAUCAGACAUAUUGAUAGGACAAAUUGAAACUAGUAUUCUAUGAUCAUAAUAAAGAGUAAUCUUUAAUCAAAUGCGUGAAGGUAUUGAGAUGUCAUGCUUUUUCAUGAUUUCCUGUUUUACCAUGGCGAUGUUCAUUGGAAUAGUCCCAUCCAAGAGAAUCAAACCAAUGCUCAGCAAGAAAUGUUCAAUGCAUAUGUAAUUUUAAUUACAGAAGUUAUAUGCAGCUUAUAUGAGUUCAAGAUCAUAAAAUACUUCAUGGACAAAAGGAAACCCUUUCUUAUCACUGAAAUGAAAAUAGGCACUCUUAAUUUUCUAUUGUCAAAAGUAGCAAGCCAUUUUCCAAAGAAAAGGGAAGAUGGAUGGUUCCAGAAAGAAUACCUCAUCCUUUGUCAAGUGUGGAUUAUAUAGCAUCUCCUCUCCCACAGUGGUUACCUAUAAUCAAUGAGGUUUAUAAAAUCGAGCAAUCAUUUAUAUAUGUAAGAAAUGAUAGGAAUAAAGUUUUAUAUCUUACUGAGAAUCCUUUGUAGUCAUGAGCUGGAUAUAGCAAUGUCUCUUUCGGUAAUGUAAAAAUCUGGAUCCAUGAAACAAAUAAGUCCAUAAAUUUUAUUCAAAUUUUGACAAUUACAAUAAAAUUUUGAGAACUCAAAGAAUGUGACCAUAAAAAGUCCCCUGUCCUUACCUGUGAAUGCACUGACUUGUAGAGUUGCUGUGAACUUCCACCCUGCAAAAUGCAUUAAUCAGUGCUAGUCAAUGGCUACUGAAUGUGGGAGCAUUAGAGAAAAUUAUCUUAAAAACUUAAGUAUAACAAAAUUAGACAAUGACAUCCAGAUGGAAAGAAAUUGCCAGCAUAUAAGACCAGCAUUUAUGUACUCACGACUGAAAAUCCUUUGCAAAAAGUAUAGCCCUGAUAGUUCAAACUUUUACUUCAAGGAUGAUUUAAUUACUGAUUAGUUUGCCAUGAGGCUUGUGAAUGACAAACACUUUAUGUGCAACCACAGUAACAAGGUAAGCACCAAUAAGUAGAAGACUAGACGAAUAGGUAACCAAGAGUUAGAGCUAAAACAGACAAACAGAGCUACUAUCCAAUGAGCUAAAACAUACAAACAGAGGUAUAUUUUAAUAAUGAAAAUAAUCGAUUGCCUUAAACACCAUAUAGUGUUCCAAUCAAUCAAAUUAUAGCAGGCAUUAAAACCUUUCCCUUUCGUUAAUUCACAACUAUUAGCUUCAUUAAUCAAAUCCUAUGUACAGUUGAUCGAUUGAAAGUGUAACAUUUCAAAGACGAAAUUUAAACGCAAAACUGGUUAACAUUGAAAUUACAUGUAAAUAUAACCUAAAAAAUCAAAAAAUUAAUCAUAUUUUCAGAUUUCAGGCCGAAAUGGAAUGAAAUGAAAGGUAAAUCCAUUUUUUCCCCAAAAAAACAAAAAUAAAGAAAUAAUAUUUCAAGAACAGAUCAUUAAAUUCAUGGUAUAUAUAAAGAAAUUUAAUUGAAAUCAAAGGAAUAGAAGAAGGGAAAAGCGUACUUGGAACCAUUGCUGCUACUCUCUGUUACUCUGUUACCUCAUACGAUUCGUUAAAGGGUUGUUAGGGUUUGUUAAAAGGUUGGUCAGGAUAGAAGCAUGAAAAGGAGGGAGAAGGUUGGAAGGAAAUGGGAAGAAAAAUGAAAAAAAGAAGAAGAUGCUGCAACGGCUUGGAGGGUAAAAGAGGACCGAUUAGGUAAUCCUUUCUUUUGGAAGGGAUUACAAAUCGGCGCUGCAUAAGGGAAAAUGGGGAAUCAGUGCGCUGCGUAAUAGGCCCGUAUUAAGGCAAUACAGCCAACCAAACAUGGUAAUCAGUGGGGCCACGAAUUAGGGGUGUAUUGGCUAAUCCAAUACACCCAACCAAACAUGCUCUAAAGGACAAAAAAAUUUGAUUUUUUAAAUAUUAUUUUCUCUCUAUUUUGCUAUCAUUUUACUAUUAUGUUGCUACUAUGUUAUUGUUAUUUUUGAAUAUUGUAUAAAACUUAUUUUAUUGUUAAUUUUGUUAUUAUUUUAAAGACAUUUGUUAAUUUUGUUAUUAUUUUAGAGACAUUUGUUUGUUAAGUUGCAUCUAUCUUAGUGUUAUUUAAGUAUACAUAUUUUUUAAAAUUUAUUUUCAAUUUAUUGGGAAAUAUUUAUUUUGAUGUUUUUAGUAUUUUGGAUGUAUUAUAUAUAUUAAAAUUAUAUAAAAAUUAAUAUGGCCGAGCCAGGUCAGGCCCAGAUUUUAGCAUUUUUAUUCAGGUCGGGCUUGAGCAAAAUUUUAAGCCCAUUUUUUGGGCCAAACCAGGCCUGGGCUUAGCAAAUGGGCCUAAAUUUUUAGUCAAGCUCGACCUAAACCCGAUCCGGCCCAUGCUCACCUCUAGAUCAGAGCUGCCCUCGCUUUGCAUUUCUUUGAGAUUCAGUCUUAUCUACUGUUGAUUGCCCACUCAAUGGAGGGUUGAGUAGAAAGAUUUGGUGAAGCAAGCUAAGCUAUCAAUCAAGGUUGGAGAAAGCUUAGGAGGUCACAAUGCAUAAUUAUUUAAAUGUAAUUCUAAUAUUUAAAUAAAAUUUAUUAAUAUAGUAUUAACAAGCCCUAAAUGUAAUGAUUAUAUACUAUUACAUUUUUAAGAAGAGAAAACAUGUUUGAACCUUAAAAACAUCAUUAUUAAAAAUGAUAAUUACAAAUUUUAAAAUAUAAAAAAUAUAAUUAAAAAUUAAUUUUAAACCCGAGCUGGAUAAAAUUCUAAUUUUAGAUAACGAUACUAAUAAGAAAUCAAUAUUAAAAUGAAAAUGAAAAGUAAUUUAAUAUAAUUUUUGAGUCUUGGGCAAAGGCACUCAAUGAAUGCUUGGAAAGAAAUAAUGCAACUUGGUGAUAGCUUUUGUUGGAGUAAUAUGCUCUUAUUAUAGUUUUAUGUUUUUAUCUUGCAAAAACAACAUAUUGGAGUUUUCGGCAUGAUUUUUUCUUAAUACUUUACAUGAAAAAUAAUAAUGGGACUUAAAUUGCUACAAUAUUACAACACAAAGUUACAAUAAGAGCUUAUAACUCAACAAAGGCUAUCAAUAAAUAAUCUCAGGCAAGCUAAAGAGAAAUGUUGAGAAUACCACCCGAAUAGUGACUGACUUUAAAAGUUGAAAACCCGAAGCUAUAUUAUCUCAAACGAAAUCAAACCAUAAACAUUAAAAUUUUCAAGUCUACUAGUUACUGUAAAAAAUUCAGCUCCAACAGACACCAAAUGAGCCUUUGAUCGAAGAAAGUACGAAAAAUAGUCUAGGUAAACCAAGCUUCCAAACUUACUUAUCUUAUCUUUAAUUUGCAGUGAAAUUCAAAAUUAAGAUUUUGUUUAUUUCACUUGGAACAACUUUCAAAAAAUUAUUUUUGAAAAAUGAAUUGGUUUUUCGAAAUAGAUGAUAUUUUAUUGUGUCAAAAUUUUAUUCAUUGUAGGAAAACUUUUUUUAAAUCAUUUUCUUAGAGUUAUUUUUAGUUAAAUAAACAUAACAUAAAUAUAUUUGUUACAAAAAAUUAUACUAGUAUUUUCUUUUGACAAUUAAAAUUUAUUUUAUGGUAAGACAAUAUUUUAUAAUAAUUAAUAUCAUAUAUAUACGUAAUAAAAAUCAUGUUUAAUUAAAAUUUAAUUAAAAUUAGAUGUAUUAAUAAAGCUACUCCUCCACAACCCGCAUCCGCAACAGCACCAGCACCAGCACCAGCACCAGCAUCAGCACCAUGGGACAACUAUUGGGUUUCCUCCACCUGCCUCUAUCGCUCCUCCUCAGUAUUACCCCCAAGCCUACCAGACCGUGCCGGGUAUUCUACAAAUAUGAAAAAACCUUCUUCUCUUUUUAUUAGCUUAUCGAAAUGAAGGAUUUUGAGAUUUGGGCUUUUGUUAGAUGGAUGGUUAAUGAUAUUUUUUAGAUGAAAGAUACAAGUUUUUUAAUGUUUUAGAAGAAAAGGUGUUUAAAUAUUAGGAGUUUUUUAGCAGAGAAAGAAGAUAAAUAAAUGCAUAGAGAUACAUUAGCAAUAUUAUUUGGAUUUGGUUGUCUAAUGUAAUGAAGAAUUUUUUAAGGGUGACCUGAGUAGGUGUGGCAAGAUUCAAAGUUUUUUCUAUUAUAGCAGAUAUAUAUAUAUUAAUGGUUUAAGAAGACUAGAAGUCGGUUUCAAAGGAAGAUGAGAAAUAAAAGCAUUUAUAUAUAUGAUAUGUCAUUAAUUCAUAAACCAAAUAUAUAAAGUAUGUAAAAGUGUCAGGGGUUAAUCAUGGUGUUUUGACAAUCCGGUAACCUUCAACUUGAAGAAAACCUUAGGUUUCAAAAAUUUAUGUGAAGAGUUAGAAUGGUAUGCUUCAUGGAUCUGAAUAACUAGAACAGUGUAAGAGUGGUAUAUUGUGUCAAGUUUGGUUUCUUGUAUAUAAUUGUAUCGAAAACAAUGUUACAUGAGUUAAAAUGAAUGUUCAUCCAAUUUAACAAAGCCUGCAUUAUGUUGAUCAAAAUUUUUAAUUCAUGUUGAGGUUUCUUCCGUGAUAUCUUUGAUGUCAAGGUUAUGAUGUUGCUGAAGGGACACCUGUAAGAGAUAAGCCACCGUGCUGUGGCAUUGGAUUCGGAUGGUUCUUGUAAGUGUACAUAGUUUUCUUUGUUUUUAAAGAGUUCUUUACAUAUGAAGUAAAACAAGUAGCGACUUGAUGGAUAUGUCAUUAAGCUUUAACUUAAGCAAAUCAUUUUCCUUCAUCUCUAAUUGCCAUUUCUUUAAAAGAAAAAGAGGAAGUUUUGUAGUUUACAGUUUGGACAAAUGGAAGUUAAUAUAAUGCACUAUUUGGAUGGACUAUGGAGAUAUCCAAUCAUAUUGGAUGAGUUAUAAGAAACCUGUGAGUUCAUAUUGGGUUUACUUUAUAUCAUAAUUAGAUUGUUGAGCUGGCUGUCAUACUUAGAUGGUAUUUCACGUUGCUACUUGUUAAACUAUACCACUUUCACAUUCAUACGUGAAAUGGCUGGGAUUUAGUGCCAUUCUACUUAGCAGCCUCGUGUAAUACACAGGUGAAAUGUUUAUGUCUUCAUGUCACCUUAAAGUUCCCAUUUCCAUGACGGUAUUGUUAAGUAAAGACUGGUACAUACCCCAAAAUACGGAAAUUGUUUUGGAUGUAUACUAUACUUUACCAUGCAUGAUUUUUUACAAGUUUGCAUGGUAUUUUAUCAUUAUAUUGGUCUUUAUUUUCUAUACUCGCAGCUUCCAUUAAUAUAUUUUUAUGAAUUUUAUCAUUAUGCUGGUUUGAAGGUUCAUCAUUGGUUUCUUCAUUGGGGGCCAUCCCUGGUAUAUUGGAUUCUUUGUUUUACUUUGUGCAAGGAUAGACGACAGAGAGAAAGCAGGAUAUAUUGCAUGCACAAUUGCCGUGAGUAUCUUUUCUAUCAUUAUUUUUUUCUUUUCCAAUUUUAUGAAAGCCAUCCUUCCUGCCUUGUAUUGAUCAUCAAUUUAACCAUUAUAUAUAUGUAUCUUAUGUAUUUGUACCAUGCUUUAUCUUCAAUGCAAAUAUAAGUUAAACUACAAAGAUUGGAUUGUUAAAAAAAGUUUAAAAUGUUAAAAAAAUUGAAAAUUUUGAUUUUGUAAGAAUGAUAGAAAACCAAGGCCAGUGCUUGCAUAUGUUAUCUACUACAUGCACAAUCGGGUCGAUGUCUGUAUAUGUUUCAUGUUUAGAAAUCGUGUUCAAUUGGGUUACGAUAUGUACAAUUGAAGUGUCAAUUUAUAAUUUCCUUAUCAAGAUUACACAUUUUUUUGUUAAUAUUCGGAAUCACUCAAUGGUUAUAAACCCUGAUUGGAUACUGUCCACAAAGUCUAGUUGGAACAUCCCUUGUAUUCUUUGUCCUUUCUAAGAACUUUCCUUUCCAUCAUUCUCGCUUCUGUUUUUUUUUUCUUCCCUCUACUUUAAGUCAUUAUCUAACGUAGAUAUCCCUUGUAUUCUUUGUCCUUUCUAUGGCAAUCGAGUCAAUUGAUGGCAAGCCAAAAAAACAAAAAGAGCAGCUAUCCUGUCUUACUCGAUUGCCAUCCCUCCUGUUAAACACCAUUAAGAAAAGGAAAAUUUUAGUUAAGCUUUAAAACAGCCAUGUUUUAACGAUGUUGGUGAUGGUGCUUGUGCAGGCCCUUCUUGCUACAAUUACAAUUAUUCUUAGUGCAACAAUUAAAGCUGGUGGGUGAUAAAGCACACCUCUUUUGACUGAGAGAUGUAUAGGUUCCCAAAUAAUAUGUAUAUGCUCCCCCCCCUCCCUUUAUUUUAUUUUAUUUCCAGUAAGUUAUUGUUUAUGAUAAUUUGCAACAAAUGUUUUUGUCAUUAUUUUGUUGGUGAAUGAUAAUAAGAUUAAGCUUUACUUUCUUAAGCUCCAAUUCCUUGGACGUUGGUGAUUUUUUUAUUAUAGUUGAGUCAUUGUAUGGUAUUAAUAUAAUUUAUGUCGCUUAAAAUUUAUAACUAAAAAUAUAAAAUUUAAAUUUUACUUCAAUUUAUUUGUAUUUAUAAAUGGUUAAUUCAAACUUAUUUUUUUCCUCAUUAUAUUUUAUAUUUAAAUUAACAUUUAAACUAUUUUUCAUUAGCAAUGUUGUUAAGAAUUAUAUUUUUUAGCACCAACAUCAAACUUACUAAAAUUAAAUUUUUAACUAUUUAAAAAAAAUAUUUUUAGCUAUUUAUCAUCAUAGAGAAAAAAAGGUGACGUCACCACGCCUCAUGCUUCGACACCACAAACUAGACUCUCAUCACCCGUAUUUAUCAUCGAUUCAAAUUCCAGAACUACCUAAAAAUAUAUCUUCAAACUUCCUCUGGUUAAGUUCAUUGAUAGUCAACUUACUAUCAUUUCUAAAAAAAAAACAAAUAAAUUGGUUAAUAGUAAUCUCAAUGAUUCAAUUUUAUUCUUACCAGUAUCUGUCCUUUAGAAAGGGGCUUAUAAAAGGGGUAGAGGUGAGUAAACUUGAGCUUCAGCUUUCCACAAACACCUUAAUUUGAAGACACAGUUCUCUCAUACUAAAAAAGACAUGGAAGUUUACCUUGUAAUUAGAGAUUUGGUUUCAUUGCUUGUUGUUGGGUUAUUAAUGAUAUGGGGAUGCAGAACUUUAAACUGGGUAUGGCUGGCCCCAAAAAGGCUCGAAAGCUGCUUGAGACAACAGGGUUUUGCAGGGAAUCCUUACAGGUUCCUUUCUGGUGACAUAAAAGAGCUCUCAACUAUGAGCAGACAAACAAGAGCCAAACCUAUGCCUCUUAGUGAUGAUAUUGGGCCUUAUGUUGUUCCUUUUCAACAUCAAACUGCUAACCAGUAUGGUAUGUUUUUUUUGUUUAAUCUGCAAUUUAUGAUAAUUCUUUGUUAUUUAUGUAUGGAAUUUAUUGGGAGGAAAUGCAGGAAAGAAUUCAUUUACGUGGUUUGGUCCAAGACCAAGGGUGAACAUUACGGACCCUGAAAAAAUAAGAGAAAUACUUAACAAAUUUAAUGACUUCCAGAAGAUACAUACCAAUCCACUGCUUAAUUUGCUUGUAAGCGGCCUUGCUAACCUCGACGGAGACCGAUGGAGCAAGCGUAGAAAAAUCAUAAACCCUGCAUUUCAUCAAGAUAAGUUGAAGGUAUAGAAUAGUGAUGGGUAAUCAGACUUUACAGAAAACAUCAUACUUAAACCUAUGCUUUUCUGAUUUAGAAAUAAUUGGAUGCAGAAUAUGUUGCCAGCAUUUUAUCAAAGUUGUAGUGACAUGUUAAGCAAAUGGGAGAAGAUGGUGUGUACAAAAGGAUACAGUGAGUUAGAUGUGUGGCCUUAUCUCGUAGAUUUGACAAGAGAUGUGAUUUCCCGAUCUGCUUUUGGAAGCAGCUUCGAAGAAGGCAAACGAAUUUUCCAAUUACUAGAGGACCAACUCGUUCACAUAAUCAAAUUAAUACAAACUGUUUACAUUCCAGGAUGGAGGUAACCGUCAACUUAAUUUACUUGAAAAAGGUUGCAAAUGUUGGAAUUCGCUAAAUUCGUGUUUGUUUUCUUGAAGGUUUUUGCCAACGAAGACAAACAGGGAGAUGAAGAUGAAACACAGGGACAUAAAAGAGUUGCUUAUGGAAAUGAUAAAGAGAAGGGAGAAGGCAAUUAAAGCAGGGGAAGAGAGCAAUGAGGACUUGUUGGACAUACUUGUGGAAUCCAAUAUCAGAGAAAUGGAAGCAAAGAAUAUUGGGAUGAGCAUUGAGGAUGUGAUUGAGGAAUGCAAGCUGUUUUACUUAGCUGGCCAAGAGACCACUUCGGUCUUACUGGUGUGGACUAUGGUUUUAUUAGCAAGGUAUCCCGAUUGGCAAAGUAAAGCAAGAGAGGAGGUUUUGCAUGUUUUGGGUGACAGUAAACCUGACGCUGAUGGCCUUAAUCGUCUCAAAGUUGUAAGUCCCUAGCAUGUCUUUUGAAGGUCCGAUCAAUGAGGUCGACAACUCAAAAACUUUGUUUCUUUUUUCGCUAAUUCUACAGGUAACAAUGAUAUUGUACGAGGUUCUAAGGCUGUACCCACCGGUGGUUGAGCUAGAACGUUCCGUUCCAAAAGAAAUAAAACUGGGGAAUUUGUUGUUACCAGUAGGAACAGAAGUUUCGGUUCCGAUCCUGCUGAUCCACCAUGACAAAGAUCUUUGGGGCGAUGACGCACGGGAAUUUAAGCCAGAGCGGUUCGCGGAAGGGGUUUCCAAAGCAACAAAGAGUCAAGUCACGUUUCUGCCAUUCGGAUGGGGUCCUAGGAUCUGUAUUGGCCAAAAUUUUGCUAUGAUGGAAGCCAAAAUGGCGAUGGCUAUGAUUCUCCAACGCUUCUGGUUCGAGCUUUCCCCUUCCUAUGCUCACUCUCCUUACGGCAGGGCAACUCUUCGUCCACAGCAUGGUGCACAGAUAAUUUUACAUAAACUUGGCUGUAAUUGAAUUGUUAUGUAAACAAAUCUUUGUGAAAACAUAGCGUUUUAGUUUAUCGUCAAAGUCCGGUGUCUGUAAUGGUACAAAUUCGAUGCAUGAAUAGUAAAGUUUGAGAUGUUUGGUGAAGUCCGAAAUAAUAUGCAGAAAUUGAGUGUGGUAAUUAUCAAUCAAAUAAUUCGGUACAAAGACUUACAUGGAAAUUAAAGCAGGGGGAGUUGAAAAUGACUACUCUGCUUUGGGCAUCAAUUUAGAAAGAUUUAAAGUACAAAUGUGUUAUUAGUUAAGGGAUUUGUUUUAAAGAGGGAAUGACAAUUAAACCUCAUGGUUGAUUUGUGGAAGGGAACCGAUGAUGGGAUGAUUAUUCUUAGUGGUAAAAAAAACUAUUGUGGAGGUUAUUAUACUUGUUAUCAUCGGCUUAAAAUUCGAAUGGGUUCAAGUCGGAUUAUAUCGAGCUUGUAAGAUGAGUUCACGGAUCAAAUUUGCAUAAUAAAAAUACUUAAAUGAAAAAAAUUUCUAUUUUAGAGGGACCAGAGCCCCUACCAAUUCCCGGCUCAGCUACUAAACAAUACCCAUAUCAUAUAAAUAAAUACCACCAUAAAAAAAACUCAAAGAAAAACACUGACAAAUGAUAAAUAGAUAGAUGUUGGAUAAGUGUCCAAAAUAUGAUUUAAGUGAAGAUACAUGGGGUAGGUGUCACGGAAAUGUGAAUACAAGAAUACUACUAAUGGGAUGUGUACAGUUGAAUGUAGGGAGCAAAAAGAGGAGUGAAUCAUUUUGGUAACAUUGGGACAAGAAACAUAAUGAACAAAAUGGAAGGAGAGGAAGCUAGUAAAAGAAAUUUUUUGGGUCAUAUAAUUUGUUUGGCAUAUAUUUUUAUAAUUUUUAAAUAUCAUUUUGGACUUGAAUUAUAAUUUUUUUAUAUAUUAUCUUAAAAUUGUAUAAAUUUUAAGGAGUUAAAACAAAAUUAUUCUAUUUUUAGAUGGUUAAAGUAGAGAUGAUAAUGGGUUGAGCUAUUCGGCCCAGCCUGACGAUCCACCCGAAAAAUAGGAAGGUUUGGGUAAAAAUAUAGGCUUGAAAUAUGAAUUUGAGCAAAAAAAGAGGCCCGUUUAGAAAAUGGGCCGAGCCUCGGGUAAAACCUUUUGGGUCUAGACCUGACCUAAAUUAUAUAUUAAAUAUAUAUAUUUUUAUUUUUAAUCAAAUAUACUUUUGUUUUAUUAUUAAUUUGGUUAUUAUUUUAGUUCUAAUUUGUUUCAAUUUUAAUAUAACUACUUUUUAUUAUAUUUUCAAUUUGUGCAUUGUUUUAAGAAUUAUUUUAGUCUCAUUAUUUAUUUAUUUUUUAUUUUAAUAUUUGUUUUAAAAUUUUUUAUUUAUUGAAAUAAGCUAAAAAAAUUAAUAUGGGUUGGACCAGACCGGGCUCGGGCCUAGUAAUUUUCUUUUGGGCCGGACUUAAACAAAUUUUUAAGCCCAUAUUUUGAAUUGGGUCCUACACUAGAAAAUGGACCUAAAAUUUUGUAUUACCUUUAGGUCAGAGCUAUCCUCGUUUUGCAUUUCUUUGAGAUUCAGCCUUAUUUACUUUUGAUUGCCCACUCAAUAGAGGGUUGAGUAGAAAUAUUUGGUGAAGCAAGCUAAGCUAUCAAUCAAGGUGUGCAUAAUUAUUUAAAUGUAAUUCUAAUAUUAAAAUAAAAUUUUUAUUAAUAUAGUAUCAACAAGCAUUAAAUGUAAUCAUCAUAUACUAUUAAAUUUUCAAUAAGAGAAAACAAGCUUGAACUUUAAAAACGAUGUUACUAAAAACAUUAUCACAAAUCUUGAAAUAUAAAAAAUACUUUUUAAUAUAAUAAAAAAAUAAUUUUAAAACCGAGAUGAAUAAAAUUCUAAUUUUAAUUAAUGAUACCAACAACAAAUCAAUAUUUAAAUUAAAAUUUAUCUUAAUUUAAUAUAAUAAAAUUGGACUUGAAUAUUGAAUUUUUGAGUCUUGGGCAAAGUAGAGGUGCUCAUGGGCCGGGUUGGGUCGGGUUUGGGAAAAAUUUCGGCCCGCAUCCUAGGCUCGGGCUCGGCCCGACCCAAAUAUGGGCCUAAAAUUUUGUCUAGGCCUAGCCCGGCCCGGCCCAACUCAUUUUUUUUAAUAAACACCAAAAAUUUAUUUUGAAAAUAAAAAAAUAAAAAAAGUAUUUUAAAAAUAUUUUAAAAUUUUUAAAAAAUAUAUAUAUUUAUUAUAUAUUCGGGCCGGGCCAGGCCCGAGCCAAAAAAGUGGCGCCCAAGGCCCGGCCUGUUUUCUAAACGGGACUCAUUUUUUACCCAAACCCAUAUUUCGGGCCUAUAUUUCUACCCGAAUCUCUCAUAUUUAGGGCGAACCGUCGGGCCGGACCGGGCCGCCCGGCCAUGAACACCUCUAGGACAAAGUCACUCAAUGAAUGCAUGGAAAGAAAUAAUGCAACUUGGUGAUAGCUUUUGUUGGAGUUAUAUGCUUUUUUUUUACGUAGUGGAACUUUCGGUGGAUUUUCAAGUUUCAUGAACUUUAUACUCUAUGCUUUACGUGAAAAAAAAAAUUCAUUGGACUUAAAAGUCUACCAAAAGUUUCACUAAAAAAAAAACCAUUGCUACAAGAUUACAACAUAAAGUUACAAUAAGAGCUUAUAACUCAACAAAGGCUAUCAAUAAAUAAUCUCAAACAAAUUAAAGAGAAAUGUUGAGAGUACCACUCGAAUAGUGAUUAACUUUAAAAAUUGAAAACCCAAAGUUAUAAUAUCCCAAACGAAAUCAAACCAUAAACAUUAAAUUUUUCGAGUCUACUAGAUACUGCAAAAAAUUCAGCUCCAACAGACACCAAAUGAACCUAUGAUCGAAGAAAAUACGAAAACUAGUCUAGCUAAAUCAAGCUGCCAAACUUACUUUUUAUCUUAUCUUUAAUUUGCUGUGAAAUUCAAAACUAAGGUUUUGUACUUAGAACAACUUUCAAAAAGUUAAUUUUGAAAAAUGGAUUGAAUUUUCAAAAUAGAUGAUAUUUUAUUGUGUUAAAAUUUUAUUCGUUGUUUGAAAAAAAAUUUAAAUCAUUUUCUUAGAAUUAUUUUUAGUGAAACAAACAUAUCAUAAAUAUAUUUGUUAUAAAAUAUUUAUAUUAAUAUUUUCUUUUAACAAUUAAAAUAUAUUUUGUGAUAAGGUAUAUUUUAUAAUAAUUAAUAUCAUAUAUACUUAAUAAUAAAUCAUGUCUAAUUAAAAUUUAAUUUCAAUUAAAUAUAUUAAUAAAGCUACAUAUAAUCAUAUUUUAUAUAAUAAAAAUAUUAAUAUAAAUAUUUUUUUAAUAAUAUAUUAAAGAAUAUUUAAAAUUUAAAUUUAUUAUUACUAAGAUUAAUUAUUAAAAUAAAAAUGUAAUGUUAAAUAAUUUAUCCAAUGAUAAGUUAUAUUAAUAAUUUAUUAUAUUAUUAAAUAUAAAUAAUUAAAUAUGUAUGUUUAAUAAUAUUAUGUUAUAAUAUUUAUUAUUAAUAUUUUAAUAUUUUUAAACAACCAUGUUUUAAAGAUGGUGGUGAUGGUGAUGGUGCAGGCCCCCUUGUUACAAUUACAAUAUUUUUAAGUGGGAUGCAUGUAAUAUAUUGUUAGGGUUUUAGAGUGUGUGGUCUUUAAAAGGGUUAAAUUAUAUAUUUAUAUAAUAUGAUUAUUGUUUAUAAAUAUAAUAUUGUAGAUAAACUUUUAUGCAUGUCAAUAUGUAUCCUACUCUGGGGUUAAUAUGUAUUUUUAGAUAUGGAUUCACCUAUAUAAUAGUAUGAAUCCAUCAUGCGGUCUCAUGAAAUAUACAAACACAUAUCGUGCGAACACAAAGUACGAACAAUAAAAAGUACAAAUCAAGACCAAUUGAGUAAUUGAAUAGCAGAUAGGUAAUAAUGACUAUCCCCUCUUGUUUGAAUUUAUUUUAUUUCCAGUGAGUUAUCGUUUAUGAUAAAUUUACAACAAAUGUUUUUAUCAUUAUUUUGUUGGUAAAUGAUAAUAAGAUUAAACUUUACUUUCUUAAGCUCCUUCAAUUCUUUGGACGUUAGCAAGUAAACUUGAGCUUCAGCAUUCCACAAACACCUUAAUUUGAAGACACAGUUCUCCCAUACUAAAAACAACAUGGACGUUUACCUUGUAAUUAGAGAUUUGGGCUCAUUGUUAGGUUAUUAAUGAUACGGGGAUGGAGAGCUUUAAACUGGGUAUGGCUGGCCCCAAAGAGGCUCGAAACGUGCUUGAGACUAGAGGUCCAGGCAAAUUUUUAGGCCCAUUUUUUAGGCCUGGACUGGGCCCGACUCGAAAUAUGAGCUUAAAAAUUUGUCUAAGUUCGGUCCAAAAGAAAAUUGUUAAGCCUAAGCCCGGCCCAUAUUAAAUUUUACAACACCAAAAAACUAUAUAUUUAAUAUAUAUAUUUGAUUAAAAAGUAUAUUUAAUUAAAAAUAAAAAUAUAUAUUUAAUAUAUAAUUCGGGCCGGGCCGAACUCGGGCCAAAAAAGUUUUACUCGGGGCUGGUCCGUUUUCUAAACAGACCUCGUUUUUUUGUCAAAAUCCAUAUUUUAGGCUUAUAUUUUUACCCGAAACUUCCUAUUUUUCGGGUGAACCGUCAGGCCGGACUAGGUAGCCCAACCAAUGAUCACCUCUACUUGAGACAACAGGGUUUUGCAGGGAAUUCUUACAGGUUCGUUUCUGGCGACAUAAAAGAGCUCUUCACUAUAAGCAUACAAACAAGAGCCAAACCUAUGCCUCUUAGUGAUGAUAUUGGGCCUUAUGUUGUUCCUUUUCAACAUCAAACCGUCAAUCAGUAUGGUAUGUUUUUUAAUUUAAUCUGCAAUUUAUGAUAAUUCUUUGCUAUUUAUGUAUGGAAUUUAUUGGGAGGAAAUGCUGGGAAGAAUUCAUUUACGUGGAUUGGUCCAAGAUCAAGGGUGAACAUUACGGACCCGGAAAAAUAAGAGAAAUACUUAACAAAUUUAAUGACUUCCAGAAGGUACGUACCAAUCCACUGCUUAAUUUGCUUGUAAGCGGCCUUGUUAACCUCGAAGGAGACCGAUGGAGCAAGCAUAGAAAAAUCAUAACCCUUCAUUUCAUCAAGAUAAGUUGAAGGUAUAGAAUAGUGAUGGGUACUUAGACUUAAUUUACAGAAAACAUCAUACUUAAAUCUAUGCUUUUCUGAUUUAGAAAUGAUUGGAUGCAGAAUAUGUUGCCAGCAUUUUAUCAAAGUUGUUGUGACAUGUUAAGCAAAUGGGAGAAGAUGGUGUGUACAGAAGGAUACAGUGAGUUAGAUGUGUGGCCUUAUCUUGUAGAUUUGACAAGAGAUGUGAUUUCCCGAUCUGCUUUUGGAAGCAGCUUCGAAGAAGGCAGACGAAUUUUCCAAUUACUAGAGGACCAACUCGUUCUCACAAUCAAAUUAAUACAAACUGUUUACAUUCCAGGAUGGAGGUAACCCUCAACUUAAUUUACUUGAAAAAGGUUGCAAAUGUUGGAAUUGGCUAAAUUCGUGUUUGUUUUCUUGAAGGUUUUUGCCAACAAAGACAAACAGGGAGAUGAAGAUGAAACACAGACAUAAAAGAGUCGCUUAGGGAAAUGAUAAAGAGAAGGGAGAAGGCAAUUAAAGCAGGGGAAGAGAGCAAUGAGGACUUGUUGGACAUACUUGUGGAAUCCAAUAUCAGAGAAAUGGAAGCAAAGAAAAAGGGGAUGAGCAUUGAGGAUGUGAUUGAGGAAUGCAAGCUGUUUUACUUUGCUGGCCAGGAGACCACUUCGGUCUUGCUGGUGUGGACUAUGGUUUUAUUAGCAAGGUAUCCCGAUUGGCAAAGUAAAGCAAGAGAGGAGGUUUUGCAUGUUUUGGGUGACAGUAAACCUGAUGCUGAUGGCCUUAAUCGUCUCAAAGUUGUAAGUCCCUAGCAUGUCUCUUGAAGGUCCGAUCUCUGAGGUCGACAACUCAAAAACUUGGUUUCUUUGUUUCGCUAAUUCUACAGUUAACAAUGAUAUUGUACGAGGUUCUAAGGCUGUACCCACCAGUGAUUGAGCUAGGACGUUCCGUUCCAAAAGAAAUAAAACUGGGAAAUUUGUUGUUACCAGCAGGAACAGACGUUUCGGUUCCAAUCCUGCAGAUCCACCAUGACAAAGAUCUUUAGGGCGACGACGCACGGGAAUUUAAGCCACAGCGGUUCACGGAAGGGGUUUCCUAAGCAACAAAGAGUCAAGUCACGUUUCUGCCAUUCGGAUGGGGUCCUAGGAUCUGCAUUGGCCAAAACUUUGCCAUGAUGGGAACCAAAAUGGCGAUGGCUAUGAUUCUCCAACGCUUCUGGUUCGAGCUUUCCUCUUCCUAUGCUUACUCUCCUUACAACAUGGCAACUCUUCGUCCACAGCAUGGUGCACAGAUAAUUUUACAAAAACUUGGCUGUAAUUGAAUUGUUAUGUAAACAAAUCUUUGUGAAAAUAUAGUGUUUUAGUGUAUCGUCAAAGUCUGCCUGUAAUGGUACAAUUCCGAUGCAUGAAUAGUAAAUCUUGAGAUGUUUGGUGAAGUCCGAAAUAAUAUGCAGAAAUUGAGUGUCUUGAAUGGAUGUAGUAUUUAAUGGUGGACAUAGUUGAGGGACUAAUGUGGUAAUUAUCAAACAAAUAAUUGCAUAUGGUACAAAGACUUGUAUGGAAAUUAGAGCAGGGCGAGUUGAAAAUUACUACUUUGCUUCGGGCAUCAAUUUAGAAAGAUUUAAAGUACAAAUGUAUUAUUAGUUUAAGGGAUUUGUUUUAAAGAAGGAAUGACAAUUAAACCUCAUGGUUGAUGUGUGGAAGGGAACCAAUGAUGGGAUGAUUACUCUUAGUGGUAAAAAAAAAAACUAUUAAGGUGGUUAUUAUAGUUGUUAUCACCGGCCCAAAAUUCGAAUAGGUUCAGGUCGGAUUAUAUUGAGCUUGUAGAUGAGUUUGCAUGAUAAUAGGUGUUCACAGAAAGAUAUCUAUAGUUUCCUACAAAGUCACAUGUGAGAUCGUGCAUUGGGACCGCAUAAAAAUGUUUUAUGUUUAGAAUAUGAUACGUGUCUAUGUGUAUGGAAUCUACCUAAUAUAUCAUAUUAAUUAAUAGUAUCAAUUGCGGAGCCAAAAAAUUAUUUCUGAGGGGUCAGAAUUAAAUUGUAUAUUUUUACAAAAAUAAAAAUUAAAUUUCACUAUUUUAAUAGUUUAUUUCUUUUUAAUUUUUAAAUGAUUAAAUUAAAUUUUUAUAAAUUUUUGGGAUCAAAGUACAAUUUUAUCAUUUCUAAUUUAAAAUUUUAUAAAAUAUAAAAAGUUUAUAUGAAAAGUUUUCUAUUUUAGAGUGGCCAAAGCCCCUGCCAACUUCCGACUCGAUCACUAAACAAUAUAAAUAAAUAAAUACCACCAUCUAAAAGACUCAAGAAAAACACUCAACGAUAAAUAGAUAGAUGUUGGGUAAAGAUACGUUUGGAUGGGCGGUGCGUUUACUUGCGGUUAGUAUAAAAAUAGCGGUGGCGGUUAGAUUAGAUACUAUAGCAACACUGUAGCGUAAGACAAAAAAUAAGCUAAACGUACUGCACUGCACUUAAUCGCCCAUCCAAACUCACCCUAAGUGUACAAAAUAUGAUUUAAGUGAAGAUACGUAGGGUAGGUGUCAUGGAAAUGUAAAAGACAAGAAUCCCACUAAUGUAUGGGAUGUGUACAGCUGAAUGUAGGGAGCAAAGAGGAGUGAAUCAUUUUGGUAACAUUUGGACAAGAAACAUAAUGAACAAAAUGAAAGGAGAGGAAGCUAGUAAAAGAUUUUUUUGAGUUAUAUAAUUUGUUUGGCAUAUAUUUUUAUAAUUUUUAAAUAUCAUUUUGGAGUUGAAUUAUAAUUUCUUUUUAUGUUUUAAAACAUAAUUAUUCUAUCUUCAAAGGGUUAGAGUAGAGGUGAGCAUGGGUCGGGCUACUCGGCCCGAAAUGUGAGAGAUUUGGGCAAAAAUAUAGGCUCAAAAAAUGGACUUGGACAAAAAAAUAUAAGACCCGUUGAAAAAUGGGCCGGGCAUUGGGUAAGGCAUUUUUGGCCCUGGGCCCGGCCCAAUCCUAAUUCACUAAAGGACAAAAAAAAUUUGAUUUUUAAAUAUUAUUUUCUUCCUAUUUUGCUACCAUUUUACUAUUAUGUUGCUACUAUUUUGUUGUUAUUUUUUGGAUAUUGUAUAAAACUUAUUUUAUUGUUAAUUUUGUUAUUAUUUUAAAGACAUUUGUUAAUUUUGUUAUUAUUUUAGAGACAUUUGCUUGUUAAGUUGUAUCUAUCUUAGUGUUAUUUAAGUGUACAUAUUUUUUAAAAUUUAUUUUCAAUUUAUUGGGAAAUAUUUAUUUUGAUGUUUUUAGUAUUUUGGAUGUAUUAUAUAUAUUAAAAUUAUAUAAAAAUUAAUAUGGCCGAGCCGAGUCAGGCCCAGAUUUUAGCAUUUUUAUUCAGGUCGGGCUUGAGCAAAAUUUUAAGCCCAUUUUUUGGGCCAAACCAGGCCUGGGCUUAGCAAAUGGGCCUAAAUUUUUAGUCAAGCCCGACCUAAACCCGAUCCGGCCCAUGCUCACCUCUAGAUCAGAGCUGCCCUCGCUUUGCAUUUCUUUGAGAUUCAGUCUUAUCUACUGUUGAUUGCCCACUCAAUGGAGGGUUGAGUAGAAAGAUUUGGUGAAGCAAGCUAAGCUAUCAAUCAAGGUUGGAGAAAGCUUAGGAGGUCACAAUGCAUAAUUAUUUAAAUGUAAUUCUAAUAUUUAAAUAAAAUUUAUUAAUAUAGUAUUAACAAGCCCUAAAUGUAAUGAGUAUAUACUAUUACAUUUUUAAGAAGAGAAAACAUGUUUGAACCUUAAAAACAUCAUUAUUAAAAAUGAUAAUUACAAAUUUUAAAAUAUAAAAAAUAUAAUUAAAAAUUAAUUUUAAACCCGAGCUGGAUAAAAUUCUAAUUUUAGAUAACGAUACUAAUAAGAAAUCAAUAUUAAAAUGAAAAUGAAAAGUAAUUUAAUAUAAUUUUUGAGUCUUGGGCAAAGGCACUCAAUGAAUGCUUGGAAAGAAAUAAUGCAACUUGGUGAUAGCUUUUGUUGGAGUAGUAUGCUCUUAUUAUAGUUUUAUGUUUUUAUCUUGCAAAAACAACAUAUUGGAGUUUUCGGCAUGAUUUUUUCUUAAUACUUUACAUGAAAAAUAAUAAUGGGACUUAAAAAUCUAUCAAAAGCUUCACCAUAAUAAUAAUAAUAAUAAUAAUAAUAAUAAAUUGCUACAAUAUUACAACACAAAGUUACAAUAAGAGCUUAUAACUCAACAAAGGUUAUCAAUAAAUAAUCUCAGGCAAGCUAAAGAGAAAUGUUGAGAAUACCACCCGAAUAGUGACUGACUUUAAAAGUUGAAAACCCGAAGCUAUAGUAUCUCAAACGAAAUCAAACCAUUAACAUUAAAAUUUUCAAGUCUACUAGCUACUGUAAAAAAUGCAGCUCCAACAUACACCAAAUGAGUCUUUGAUCGAAGAAAGUACAAAAACUAGUCUGGGUAAACCAAGCUGCCAAACUUACUUAUCUUAUCUUUAAUUUUGCAGUGAAAUUAAAAAUUAAGUUUUUGUUUAUUUCACUUGGAACAACUUUCAAAAAAUUAUUUUUGAAAAAUGGAUUGGUUUUUCGAAAUAGAUGAUAUUUUAUUGUGUUAAAAUUUUAUUCGUUGUUGGAAAACUUUUUUUAAAUCAUUUUCUUAAAGUUAUUUUUAGUGAAACAAACAUAACAUAAAUAUAUUUGUUACAAAAAAAUUAUAUUAGUAUUUUCUUUUGACAAUUAAAAUUUAUUUUAUGAUAAGACAAUAUUUUGUAAUAAUUAAUAUCAUAUAUAUAUACGUAAUAAAAAAAUCUUGUUUAAUUAAAAUUUAAUUAAAAUUAAAUAUAUUAAUAAAGCUACAUAUAAUCAUAUUUUUUAUAAUUAAAAUAUUAAUAUAAAUAUUUUUCAAUAAUAUAUUAAAAUAUUAAAAUUUAAAUUAUUAUUACUUAAAUUAAUUAUUAAAAUAAAAAAUUUAAUAUUAAAUAAUUUAUUCAAUGAUAAGUUUUAUUAAUAAUUUAUUGUAUUAUUAAAUAUAAUUAAUUAAAUAUGCAUAUUUAAUAAUAUUACGUUAUAAUAUUUUAAUAUUCUUAAACAGCCAUGUUUUUAAGAUGCUGGUGAUGGUGAUGCUGCGGGCCUCUCUUGUUACAAUUACUAUAAUUUUUUGUGCAAUAAUUGAAGUUGUUGGGUGGUCAAGCAAACCUCUUUUGACUGAGAUGCAUAUAAUAUACCCGCAUGUCCCCGCCUCCUAAAAUUUAAAUUUGUUAUUUGAAUCUUUAAAUUUUUUAAUAUAAUAUACCCGCAUGUCCCCGCCUCCUAAAAUUUAAAUUUGUUAUUUGAAUCUUUAAAUUUUUUAAAAAUUUUAAAUUCAUAAAAGUAAAAUUAUACUUUGACCCUCUAAAAUUAUAAAAAUUUAAUUAAUCUUUUAAAUUCAUUGGGCCCCUAAUAUAUUGUUCAGGCUUCACCCUUGAUACUGAUGUUGACUAUUUUAGAGUAUGUGUCUUCUUUAACAGGGUUAAAUUAUAUAUUUAUAUAAUAUAGUUAUUGUUUAUGGACGUGACAUCGUAACUAGGUUCUUAUGCAUGUCAACAUAUAUCCUAUUUUAAGGUUAACACGUAUUUUUAAAUGUGAAUUCACCUAUAUAAUGGUAUGAACCAUCAUGCAGUCUCAUAAAAUAUGCGAAUAUAUGUCGUGCGAACACAAAGUACAAUCCACACAGAAUACGAAUUAAGACCCAAUUGAAUAAUCGGAUACGAAUCAGUAAUAAUGAAUUUCAUAACAGCCACCAACCCCUCUUUUGUUUUAAUUUAUUUUAUUUCCAGUAAGUUAUUGUUUGUGAGAAUUCACAACAAAUGCUUUUGUCAUUAUUUUGUUGGUAAAUAAUAAUAAGAUUAAACUUUACUUUCUUAAGCUCCUUCAAUUCUUUGGAAGUUGGUGGUUUUUUAUUCUAAUCUUAUUUUUUUUAUUAAUUUCUUUUUUUAUAAUAAAUGUGUUUAUAGAUCAGGUUGGAUUAUAAUUGAAUCAUUGUCUGGUAUUAACAUAAUUUAAAUCGAUUAAAAUUUAUUCGACUGGAAAUAUAAAUUUAAAAUUUUACUUCAAUUUAUCUUAAUUUAUAAAUUGUGAAUUUAAAUUUAUUUAUUUUCUCUCAUUAUAUUCAGUUUUUCGGAUCAUAUUUGGCCCAGAACAAAAACUAGAACAAAAAAACAAAUAUAUAUGUUUUCCAAAAAUUAAAUUGUUAACUUUAAAAAAAUAUAUUUUUAGCUAUUUAUCAUCAUAGAGAAAAACAAAUAAGGUCACCUCGCCUUAUGCUUCAACACCUCAACCUAGAUUCUCAUCACCUGUAUUUAUCAUCGAUUCAGAUUUUUAUUUUUACUAUAUUCUAGAUCUACCUAUAAAUAUAUCUUCAAACUUCCUCUGGUUAAGUUCAUUCAUAGAUAGGUGAGUAAACUUGAGCUUCAGCUUCAACAAACACCUUAGUUUGCAAUUCUCUCAUACUAAAAAUAUGGAAGUUUACCAUGUAAUUAGAGAUUUGGUCUCAUUGCUUGUUGUUGGUUUAUUAAUGAUAUGGGGAUGGAGAGCUUUAAACUGGGUAUGGUUGGCCCCAAAGAGGCUCGAAAGGUGCUUGAGACAACAGGGUUUUGCAGGGAAUCCUUACAGGUUCCUUUCUGGUGACAUAAAAGAGCUCUUAACUAUGAGCAGACAAACAAGAGCCAAACCUAUGCCUCUUAGUGAUGAUAUUGGGCCUUAUGUUGCUCCUUUUCUUCAUCAAACUGUCAACCAGUAUGGUAUGUUUAAUUAUUAUUUAAUCUUCAAUUUAUGAUAAUUCUUUGUUAUUUAUGAAUGGAAUUUAUUGGGAGGAAAUGCAGGAAAGAAUUCAUUUACGUGGAUUGGUCCAAGACAAAGGGUGAACAUUAUGGACCCUGAAAAAAUAAGAGAAAUAUUUACCAAAUUUAAUGACUUCCAGAAGGUGCGUACCAAUCCACUGCUUACUUUGCUUGUAAGCGGCCUUGUUAACCUCGAAGGAGACCGAUGGAGCAAACAUAGAAAAAUCAUAAACCCUUCAUUUCAUCAAGAUAAGUUGAAGGUAUAGAAUAGUGAUGGGUACUUAAGACUUAAUUUACAGAAAACAUGAUACUUAAAUCUAUGCUUUUCUGAUUUAGAAAUGAUUGGAUGCAGAAUAUGUUGCCAGCAUUUUAUCAAAGUUGUUGUGACAUGUUAAGCAAAUGGGAGAAGAUGGUGUGUACAGAAGGAUACAGUGAGUUAGAUGUGUGGCCUUAUCUUGUAGAUUUGACAAGAGAUGUGAUUUCCCGAUCUGCUUUUGGAAGCAGCUUCGAAGAAGGCAGACGAAUUUUCCAAUUACUAGAUGACCAACUCGUUCUCAGAAUCAAAUUACUACAAACUGUUUACAUUCCAGGAUGGAGGUAACCCUCAAUUUACUUGAAAAAGGUUGCAAAUGUUGGAAUUGGCUAAAUUCGUGUUUGUUUCCUUGAAGGUUUUUGCCCACAAAGACAAACAGGGAGGUGAAGAUGAAACACAAAGACAUAAAAGAGUCGCUCAGGGAAAUGAUAAAAAGAAGAGAGCAGGCAAUUAAAGCAGGGGAAGAGAGCAAUGAGGACUUGUUGGACAUACUUGUGGAAUCCAAUAUCAGAGAAAUGGAAGCAAAGAAAAAGGGGAUGAGCAUUGAGGAUGUGAUUGAGGAAUGCAAGCUGUUUUACUUUGCUGGCCAGGAGACCACUUCGGUCUUACUGGUGUGGACUAUGGUUUUAUUAGCAAGGUAUCCCGAUUGGCAAAGUAAAGCAAGAGAGGAGGUUUUGCAUGUUUUGGGUGACAGUAAACCUGAUGCUGAUGGCCUUAAUCGCCUCAAAGUUGUAAGUCCCUAGCAUGUCUUUUGAAGGUCCGAUCAAUAAGGUCGACAACUCAAAAAUUUGGUUUCUUUUUUCGCUAAUUCUACAGUUAACAAUGAUAUUGUACGAGGUUCUAAGGCUGUACCCAUCAGCGACUGAGCUAGGACGUUCCGUUCCAAAAGAAAUAAAACUGGGAAAUUUGUUGUUACCAGCAGGAACAGAAAUUUCGGUUCCGAUCCUGCUGAUCCACCAUGACAAAGAUCUUUGGGGCGAUGACGCACGGGAAUUUAAGCCAGAGCGGUUCGCGGAAGGGGUUUCCAAAGCAACAAAGAGUCAAGUCACGUUUCUGCCAUUCGGAUGGGGUCCUAGGAUCUGCAUUGCCCAGAAUUUUGCUAU
RNAcentral lists this long non-coding RNA (41466 nucleotides) under Gossypium barbadense (sea-island cotton). RNAcentral describes it as "long non-coding RNA (GBAR_LNC013164)". The record is from RNAcentral. Lineage: Eukaryota; Viridiplantae; Streptophyta; Magnoliopsida; Malvales; Malvaceae.